Molecule: non-coding RNA, 136 nt
Organism: Triticum aestivum (bread wheat)
Lineage: Eukaryota; Viridiplantae; Streptophyta; Magnoliopsida; Poales; Poaceae
Source: Rfam
UAAGUACUCCCUCCGUCCCAAAAUUCUUGUCUUAGAUUUUUCUACGUAUGGAUGUAUCUAUUCAUAUUUUUAGUGUUAGAUACAUCUGUAUCUAGAUAAGUCUAAGACAAGAAUUUUGGGACGGAGGGAGUAUAUA